CCUACGGGGGGCAGCAGUGAGGAAUAUUGGUCAAUGGGCGUAAGCCUGAACCAGCCAAGUCGCGUGAGGGAUGAAGGUUCUAUGGAUCGUAAACCUCUUUUAUAAGGGAAUAAAGUGUGGGACGUGUCCUAUUUUGUAUGUACCUUAUGAAUAAGGAUCGGCUAACUCCGUGCCAGCAGCCGCGGUAAUACGGAGGAUCCGAGCGUUAUCCGGAUUUAUUGGGUUUAAAGGGUGCGUAGGCGGCCUUUUAAGUCAGCGGUGAAAGUCUGUGGCUCAACCAUAGAAUUGCCGUUGAAACUGGGGGGCUUGAGUAUGUGUGAGGCAGGCGGAAUGCGCGGUGUAGCGGUGAAAUGCUUAGAUAUCACGCAGAACCCCGAUUGCGAAGGCAGCCUGCCGGGCCAUGACUGACGCGGAUGCACGAAAGCGUGGGGAUCAAACAGGAUUAGAUACCCGUGUAGUC
This 460-nucleotide ribosomal RNA is filed under the name uncultured bacterium. Its description in RNAcentral is "partial 16S ribosomal RNA". It matches the Rfam family "Bacterial small subunit ribosomal RNA", at positions 338 to 795 of the family's 1533-position model. The record is from RNAcentral.